Non-coding RNA from Lactuca sativa (garden lettuce), 718 nucleotides. The record is from RefSeq and is a predicted model, not a curated record. NCBI's taxonomy places the organism in Eukaryota, Viridiplantae, Streptophyta, Magnoliopsida, Asterales, Asteraceae.
UUUCACUGUAGAUGCUUGUUGGGAUUUUAUCGUCUGUAAUUGCAACUUGUUAUGAGAUGGCCAAAACCAUUGCAUUUUGCAAUAGUUGAUGAACUUGAUUAUGUCCUAAUUGAUGAGGGAAGAAACCCAUUGCUGAUAAGGGGUGAGGCUAGCAAGGAUGCUGCACGUAACACAGUUGCUGCUAAAGUAGCUGAGCUUCUCAUGCGUGGCCUCGUAUUUUACUUUUUUGCCCUUCUUUUUCCUUUUUGAUGUCUUGUUAUCCAUCUCCAUUGUAUGCGUAUCUCAUUGUUUGUUCCACUACACAUCAUGUAAAUUUAUAUAUUGUAACAAAUAGAAUUGUAAGACAUUACAUUUUAUGAAAUGGAUUAUAUUUUUUGUAUAUGAUAUUUUAUUUUAUAUUGUGAGGCAUUAAAUGCAAAUUUAAUUUGAAAAUUAGUAAAUCUAUAAAAAAUAUUUUUUUUAACAUUUAAAAUUAUGAUACGCAAACAUGCGUGUCAUCUUCAUUUAUGACAUGGCCUUUCUUGACAGAGGCUUUCUUGAUACGCAUUGCGUGUCAUUAACACGCGCGUCGUAAGGUUACGACACGCGAAUGCGUAUCGUCUUCCUUUAUGACAGGGCCUUCCUUGAUACGCAUUGCGUGUCGUAACCGCGCGUCGUAAAUGCGCGUCAUAAAUGCGCGUCGUAAAUGCGCGUCGUCUCUCUUUAUGACAGGGCCUUC